CGCCCUUGAGUUUGAUCAUGGCUCAGGACGAACGCUGGCGGCGUGCUUAACACAUCCAAGUCAAGGGGGGCCCGCAAGGGUCAACCGGCGAACGGCUGCGUAACACGUGAGCGACCUGCCCAGUUGCGGGGGAUAGCCGGCCCAACGGCCGGGUAAUACCGCAUACGCGUUUCUGGGGGCAUUCCUGGGGACGGAAACCUACGGGGCGAUUGGAGGGGCUCGCGGCCUAUCAGCUAGUUGGCGAGGUAAUGGCUCACCAAGGCGAUGACGGGUAGCUGGUCUGAGAGGAUGGCCAGCCACAUUGGGACUGAGAGACGGCCCAUACUCCUACGGGAGGCAGCAGUGGGGAAUCUUGCGCAAUGGCCGAAAGGCUGACGCAGCGACGCCGCGUGGAGGAUUUUUUUCCUUCGGGGUGUAAACUCCUGUUGCCCGGGACGAAUGCCUGUUUUGACAGGAGUGACGGUACCGGGUGAGGAAGCACCGGCUAACUCUGUGCCAGCAGCCGCGGUAC
RNAcentral lists this ribosomal RNA (511 nucleotides) under uncultured Gemmatimonadota bacterium. RNAcentral describes it as "bacterial SSU rRNA". It matches the Rfam family "Bacterial small subunit ribosomal RNA", at positions 1 to 523 of the family's 1533-position model. The record is from RNAcentral. Lineage: Bacteria; Pseudomonadati; Gemmatimonadota.